CCUACGGGCGGCAGCAGUAGGGAAUCUUCGGCAAUGGGGGCAACCCUGACCGAGCAACGCCGCGUGAGUGAAGAAGGUUUUCGGAUCGUAAAGCUCUGUUGUAAGUCAAGAACGAGUGUGAGAGUGGAAAAUUCACACUGUGACGGUAGCUUACCAGAAAGGGACGGCUAACUACGUGCCAGCAGCCGCGGUAAUACGUAGGUCCCGAGCGUUAUCCGGAUUUAUUGGGCGUAAAGCGAGCGCAGGCGGUUAGAUAAGUCUGAAGUUAAAGGCUGUGGCUUAACCAUAGUACGCUUUGGAAACUGCUUAACUUGAGUGCAGAAGGGGAGAGUGGAAUUCCAUGUGUAGCGGUGAAAUGCGUAGAUAUAUGGAGGAACACCGGUGGCGAAAGCGGCUCUCUGGUCUGUAACUGACGCUGAGGCUCGAAAGCGUGGGGAGCAAACAGGAUUAGAUACCCGAGUAGUC
Molecule: ribosomal RNA, 465 nt
Filed under: uncultured Streptococcus sp.
Lineage: Bacteria; Bacillati; Bacillota; Bacilli; Lactobacillales; Streptococcaceae
Description: bacterial SSU rRNA
Rfam family: Bacterial small subunit ribosomal RNA
Source: RNAcentral